Molecule: ribosomal RNA, 426 nt
Filed under: Paenibacillaceae bacterium CL1.23
Lineage: Bacteria; Bacillati; Bacillota; Bacilli; Caryophanales; Paenibacillaceae
Description: bacterial SSU rRNA
Rfam family: Bacterial small subunit ribosomal RNA
Source: RNAcentral
GGUUAGCGGCGGACGGGUGAGUAACACGUGGGUAACCUGCCUGUAAGACUGGGAUAACAUUCGGAAACGAAUGCUAAUACCGGAUACGCAGCUUGGUCGCAUGACCGGGCUGGGAAAGAUGGAGCAAUCUAUCACUUAUAGAUGGACCCGCGGCGCAUUAGCUAGUUGGUGAGGUAACGGCUCACCAAGGCGACGAUGCGUAGCCGACCUGAGAGGGUGAUCGGCCACACUGGGACUGAGACACGGCCCAGACUCCUACGGGAGGCAGCAGUAGGGAAUCUUCCGCAAUGGACGAAAGUCUGACGGAGCAACGCCGCGUGAGUGAUGAAGGUUUUCGGAUCGUAAAGCUCUGUUGCCAGGGAAGAAUGCUUGGGAGAGUAACUGCUCCCAAGGUGACGGUACCUGAGAAGAAAGCCCCGGCUAACU